This is a long non-coding RNA of Onychostoma macrolepis, 1383 nucleotides long. RefSeq lists it as uncharacterized. The transcript is spliced from 3 exons. The record is from RefSeq and is a predicted model, not a curated record. NCBI's taxonomy places the organism in Eukaryota, Metazoa, Chordata, Actinopteri, Cypriniformes, Cyprinidae.
UUUGUAGGAUUCUUUAAAUAUUUACUUUUUUUUUUUUUUAUCUUUAUUUUUAAAAUCACCAAGGCAUUGCGCCAGUGCGCACGCGCAGACUCUGCUGUGCGCAUUAAGCUACAGAUCUUGGAAGAAGACGCUGCAUUUUUUGAAUUCCCUGGAAAACUGCUUGGUAAACAUAGAUUUUACAGCAAAUAACAUACAAUAUUUAUUUUAAAUGUUUAUUGUAUUUUACAAUUAAUCCUCAAUGUUUUCUUUUAUUUUGUUAUUUUAAUUUCCUCGAUAGGUCACAUCACAUAUGAUUCUACUGUGACGUGCACAGACGGAAGCGAGCCUGCACAAAGGAUUUGAGAACUGUUGAUUUUUAUUUUAUUUAUUUUUGCACUUUUACUUUUAUUUUUAGGAUUAAAAAAAGAAAAAGUCUUUGUUUUUAAAAUCUAAUUUUAAAGUCCUAACGUCACUAAGGCAUUGCGCAUGCGCAGACUCUGCUGUGCGCAUUAAGCUACGGAUCUUGAAAGAAGACGCUGCAUUUUUUGAAUUCACUGGAAAACUGCUUGAUCACAUAUGAUUUGCUGUGACGUGCACAGACACAAUGAGCGAGCCUCCACAAAGGAUUUCGUAUAAACGUUAUCUAAGUGAUGCUGAAGAGGAAAUUCCUCCAAGAACCCAACGAAGAUGGGCACUAAAAAAAAGGAAAUCCCAGACACCCUUCUAGAAGACAGUACUCUGCUGAUGAAUACUGAUGAAGAGUGCACUUCCAGUCCUGUUCAGAUAGAGGUCCCGGUGGAUUCAGGUCAAACUAAAGAGCAAACCCAACUACUACUACUUCAAAACUUUCUGGUUACAGAAGGCCUUACCUUUUUAUGGCCAGACUAUCAUGAAAGUGAGUUACAUGUUUCAACUGUUUUGGUCUUGUAAGAGAUUCAAAGAUCUCCUUGCAUUCAUUUAAACUUUGAUGCAUUAAUGGUAAAAAGCUAUGUGUACAUUACAAAAGCAGUGUGAUAUUAUGCCAUGUGGUAUAUUUUUCCAAAGUGAUUUUAAAGCAAUUCACUAAAAAAAUUUGAAUAUUUAAUGGUAAAAGUGAAAUAUACAUUAACAUGUUCUAUUUAAACUGAAAAUUAUACUGAUAGUUUUAAUAAUUUGUCUUAUCAUUAAGUGCUAUAUUGUAUUCCUUAUAAUGAAUUGUCAAAAACUAAAGUGUACUUAGCAGUUUUUGUAUUUUGUAUACUGUAUCACUGACAGUUCAUUUCAAAGUGAAAAUGAACACUAGAUUAGUAUUGAGAUAUUGUGUAAUGUGACAGGCUACUGUAAACAAAUGAAUAAACAUGACCUAAUUCUUGCUAAACCUUUGGCAGCUGUUUUGUUUGUAUCCAACUGUUUUUUGAUGAUGUA